RNAcentral lists this ribosomal RNA (373 nucleotides) under Salmonella enterica subsp. enterica serovar Thompson. Its description in RNAcentral is "bacterial SSU rRNA". It matches the Rfam family "Bacterial small subunit ribosomal RNA", at positions 1153 to 1525 of the family's 1533-position model. Lineage: Bacteria; Pseudomonadati; Pseudomonadota; Gammaproteobacteria; Enterobacterales; Enterobacteriaceae. The record is from RNAcentral. RNAcentral also lists the same sequence under 5 other names.
CAGUGAUAAACUGGAGGAAGGUGGGGAUGACGUCAAGUCAUCAUGGCCCUUACGACCAGGGCUACACACGUGCUACAAUGGCGCAUACAAAGAGAAGCGACCUCGCGAGAGCAAGCGGACCUCAUAAAGUGCGUCGUAGUCCGGAUUGGAGUCUGCAACUCGACUCCAUGAAGUCGGAAUCGCUAGUAAUCGUGGAUCAGAAUGCCACGGUGAAUACGUUCCCGGGCCUUGUACACACCGCCCGUCACACCAUGGGAGUGGGUUGCAAAAGAAGUAGGUAGCUUAACCUUCGGGAGGGCGCUUACCACUUUGUGAUUCAUGACUGGGGUGAAGUCGUAACAAGGUAACCGUAGGGGAACCUGCGGUUGGAUCA